AAUUGGUAAAAAGGAAAAACUCUUAUUAAGGAUUUCAACAUGGCCCAAGUAUAUAGGAUGGGCCUAAGACAGAUUCCAAAUUUGUAGGGCAUGGACUGAAGUUAUACUAAAAAAAGAUUCAUAGAAUCUUCAAUUUAUAAAUACAUCGUACUCAAAAAACCCUUCAGGGUCUGGCCCAAUUAUAUUAGCUUGACUAAAAUGAAACUGGCCAUCAUGACUAGCCCAAUAGCACAGGAAGAUUACAUUGCACAAAGAAGCAUUAAUUAAUAAUUUAAUAAGCAUGAGAAUUAGGAAAAAAAAAACUACUAGUUAACAGUUUAAUUAAUUACAAGUACUAAAGAGUUCGCAAGAAUUUCACACGAUGCUAAAUGUAGUAGGAUUUACAAAGUUUUUCCCUAAUAUUAAUCUACAUGCCAUUAAUGAAUUAAAAUAAACCGUGACAACCACUGUAAUUAUCACUUAAUAUAUCUAAACACAUAUUUCCAAAACUCAAUACAAUGGAGCUUAAGGUUACAACAAACUGUCCAUUAAUCAAAUUUUCCUAACAAGACAAAAAAAAAAACUAAAUGAAAUUGUCUAAAACUUUAUUAGAGCUGGUUCUAUUUCAGCUGAGCCCUCUCCCAUAGAAUCAAUCUCCUGGAUCUUACUCCAUUUGCCAGAUUCUCACCUUACAUGUUCCUGAUGCAAUCAUGACUUACUCUGAUUUACACAUGGGUUGCUGUGGGCUGAUUCCAUGUCCUUAACUCAAACAAUGCUCAAUGGUCACUACUCAAAAUGCCGUAAAUUUCAUAAUAACAAUUAGUUCAAUUGAAUGCAAAUAAACCAAGUCUAGAUCCAACUUUAUAAAGGUUAUGCAGAUUUAACUCAUUUCAAUCAUGAACUAAGCUUAUACAAAUAUCAUUUAGCUUGAAAUCAAUUAGCUAUACCUUAACUAACUAAAAAAAACACAGCAACAGAAUCAAUAAGCACAGCUAAACAGAAUUCACAGUAGCAUUUGAAAUAGAAUUCCAGCUUUCAUUAAAUAUCAAGUUCAACAUUUGAGGUUUCAGAAUAUACCUAGAUGCAGAAAACAGCACUUAACAAGACCAAAUAAAGGUCAGAAAACCAGAAGGGCAAAGCUCAGCAAUCCAAAAACAGCAGCAGCAAACAAAUAAUAACAAAGAACAGCUCCAGAAUCAAACUUCAAACUUGAGAUAUCUUAGGAAUUCUAUGUGUGUUUUUUCUACUAUUAAUGCAGGAAUUGAAAAGGAAAAUGCAAGAGUUUUCUAUUGAGAAUGCAGAGAAUUCAAUGUGUUUUCAAAUAAAUCAGUGUGUGUGUUAUGAAAGAAUGUGAGUGCCUUUAUAUAGAGCAGGG
RNAcentral lists this long non-coding RNA (1354 nucleotides) under Nicotiana tabacum (common tobacco). RNAcentral's name for it is "long non-coding RNA (NTAB_LNC008678)". Lineage: Eukaryota; Viridiplantae; Streptophyta; Magnoliopsida; Solanales; Solanaceae. The record is from RNAcentral.